This 509-nucleotide ribosomal RNA is filed under the name uncultured bacterium. Its description in RNAcentral is "bacterial SSU rRNA". It matches the Rfam family "Bacterial small subunit ribosomal RNA", at positions 1046 to 1533 of the family's 1533-position model. The record is from RNAcentral.
UGGAUGUCGUCAGCUCGUGUCGUGAGAUGUUGGGUUAAGUCCCGCAACGAGCGCAACCCUUGCCAUUAGUUGCUACAUUCAGUUGAGCACUCUAAUGGGACUGCCGGUGACAAACCGGAGGAAGGUGGGGAUGACGUCAAGUCCUCAUGGCCCUUAUAGGUGGGGCUACACACGUCAUACAAUGGCUGGUACAAAGGGUUGCCAACCCGCGAGGGGGAGCUAAUCCCAUAAAGCCAGUCGUAGUCCGGAUCGCAGUCUGCAACUCGACUGCGUGAAGUCGGAAUCGCUAGUAAUCGUGGAUCAGAAUGUCACGGUGAAUACGUUCCCGGGUCUUGUACACACCGCCCGUCACACCAUGGGAGCGGGUCUCGCCAGAAGUAGGUAGCCUAACCGCAAGGAGGGCGCUUACCACGGCGGGGUUCGUGACUGGGGUGAAGUCGUAACAAGGUAGCCGUAUCGGAAGGUGCGGCUGGAUCACCUCCUUUCUGGAAAAAUGCUGCUUCAAAUUG